GUACCUACGGGGCGCAGCAGUGGGGAAUAUUGCACAAUGGGGGGAACCCUGAUGCAGCGACGCCGCGUGGGUGAAGGAGUACUUCGGUACGUAAAGCCCUAUCAGCAGGAAAGAAAAUGACGGUACCUGACUAAGAAGCCCCGGCUAACUACGUGCCAGCAGCCGCGGUAAUACGUAGGGGGCGAGCGUUAUCCGGAUUUACUGGGUGUAAAGGGAGCGUAGACGGCUAUGCAAGUCUGGAGUGAAAGGCGGGGGCCCAACCCCCGGACUGCUCUGGAAACUGUAGAGCUAGAGUGCAGGAGAGG
RNAcentral lists this ribosomal RNA (305 nucleotides) under uncultured bacterium. RNAcentral describes it as "bacterial SSU rRNA". It matches the Rfam family "Bacterial small subunit ribosomal RNA", at positions 333 to 657 of the family's 1533-position model. The record is from RNAcentral.